This 252-nucleotide ribosomal RNA is filed under the name uncultured bacterium. RNAcentral's name for it is "partial 16S ribosomal RNA". It matches the Rfam family "Bacterial small subunit ribosomal RNA", at positions 524 to 776 of the family's 1533-position model. The record is from RNAcentral.
UACAGAGGGUGCGAGCGUUAAUCGGAAUUACUGGGCGUAAAGCGCACGUAGGCGGCUUGGUAUGUCGGGUGUGAAAUCCCCGGGCUCAACCUGGGAACUGCAUCCGAAACUGCCUUGCUCGAGUAUGGGAGAGGGAAGUGGAAUUUCCGGUGUAGCGGUGAAAUGCGUAGAUAUCGGAAGGAACAUCAGUGGCGAAGGCGACUUCCUGGACCAAUACUGACGCUCAGGUGCGAAAGCGUGGGAGCAAACAGG